Molecule: long non-coding RNA, 383 nt
Organism: Arabidopsis thaliana (thale cress)
Lineage: Eukaryota; Viridiplantae; Streptophyta; Magnoliopsida; Brassicales; Brassicaceae
Product: other RNA
Exons: 1
Source: RefSeq
CCCUUUGAACAUUUUCAUCAAUCUGCAACUCCCAUAGUUACAAGUCAUUCACAACUGUCCUAAUCUACAAAAGCAGAACACUCAAAACCAACUAAAAAAAUCAUUUCAAUAUCCAAAAUUUCACAUAAAUCACAAAUUAAAAUCAUCAUUCAAGUGUUAGGAAGCUCACAUCUUUAAAAUCACAUUAAAAGCACUCAAAAGCAUAAUCAUCAAAAUCUAAAAACGCUAACUUUAAGUACGAAACCAAUAAAUCUGGAAAGUGAAAGCUAAACCAAACACUAAAAAUGAACGAUCACUGGACUAAAUAAAUAUCAUCAACUUCCAAAAAUAGAAAAAGAUGAGAUUUUUAAAAAUGAAACCUUGUCUCCUCUCUCGAUGUACUU